RNAcentral lists this small RNA (68 nucleotides) under Mycolicibacterium moriokaense. Its description in RNAcentral is "ASdes TB sRNA". It matches the Rfam family "ASdes TB sRNA". Lineage: Bacteria; Bacillati; Actinomycetota; Actinomycetes; Mycobacteriales; Mycobacteriaceae. The record is from RNAcentral.
UUGGCGGCCGGGUCGAUCUCGCGAGUGAUCACCAGAUAGUUGCGUAGCGCGAUGGCGUGCAGGUGCUC